CUAUCUUCAUAAAUAUCUCUUCAUGCGCCGUCAUCUUCAACCUUUUGCCACUUUGUUCUCAUCUUCCUCCAAAGUUAUAGUUCCACCAUAUAUCGUAGCUUCCAACUGACGAUUCUGCUCGAGCUCGACCUCUAUUUGCACAGGUGUUUCCAUCUUUAACGUUUGUUCCUCCUCUGGUCUCUGCUAGCAACAAGCUCCGACUAGUCUUCAUCAACUUGCUUCGUGAUCUCUGGUGCAGAUCUAGUUUUCAUCAAUGACUUCCUCCACCUCCGUGCCAGUGAAUAUGAAAGAUAAGGUCUUGAUCCGAGCUGAAAGCAACCUAGCUGUGUACUAUUUAAGGCUGAUGGGCAACCCAGAUCCCUUAUAAUUCAUCAACUUAGAAACCAAUUGGAUCCCUUACAAGAACUCCUGCAUGCAAUUGUCCGAUUGGCAUCACAGCUUCCGUUCUUGGCCCAAUCAUUUACCAGGAUGGAGAAAUUAAAUUGGUAUUGUCACAUGUCGGCUGCCAAGGGGCAUUUGUGGGAUGAGACCCAGAUCGAAUAAUGCAUAAAUCUUUCCUUA
Long non-coding RNA from Panicum hallii, 561 nucleotides. RefSeq lists it as uncharacterized. The transcript has 2 exons. Lineage: Eukaryota; Viridiplantae; Streptophyta; Magnoliopsida; Poales; Poaceae. The record is from RefSeq and is a predicted model, not a curated record.